ACAUAAUUUUCUGUUAACUUUGUAACAAUUUGUAUUGUAAAAAGCGCUAUACAAAAACUUGAAUUGAAUUCACCAUAACUUUAUAGAUGCAGGUUCCAAGGAUGACGACUGUGAGGGACACAUCUUGGACGUGGGGAUCAGAAGAGGCUCCAGAAUCCUUGAGGUGUCCUUAUGGCGGGACCAGGCCUCGUCAAUGAUAAAGUUCACAUAUGUCACCUCCGAGCAAACGCCAAGGCUACUAAGUUAAACUCACCCAUCCACACAACUGUAGAGGUUCUGGAGCAAGGACCAGUGGUGGAGAACAUGGUGGUGAUUUGCUUGUUGAAGCUAAUGUUGAGCUCUUGUUGCUCGCUGAGGACUUCAGUGAAUACACAGCACUUCCUGAACUGACUGAUAAGAGUCUAGAAGAUCUUCUGUGCAGCUUCCACUUCAUUCAGAACUGCUGUGUGAUCCUGAUCCUCUUGAUAUCUUCUUGUGGAAAGAUGAAGCUCUCUGUGUCUUACACAUUAGAGAUGACGUAGAGAUCACCAACAUUUAUAGUGACAAAGGUGCCUCGAGGAAGAGGGAGUUUUCAUUCCUCUCAGUACACAACUGUCAAAGAUUAAGCAGACGCCGCGUACAAAACAGAAGACACCUACACUCUUCUCGACACUGACGACGAAGUCUACAGUUUCUGCAGAGUUCUACGCUGGGAACGUCACCAGUUUCAUUGACGAAUUACCCAUGAAGAUUCUUGUGGAACAUAACAACCUCCGAAUCGUUGGUCACAACACCACCUUAAGCUUCUCCUCUUAACCUGGACUCCUAUCAUUGUUCCUGUCAUGUCCAUUUAUUUGAAUGGCAGCUCCAACUUCUCUCCUGGCAUUUUUAGGUGCAAGUGCGUGGACACCCGUCUUAACCGCCGCGCACUGACCUACUGUACGAAAGGGAAAGAAACAGAGGUAGAUAAGGUUAAAACGGAGAUGGUUUGUGCACUUACUGAUGGAACAACAGUGUACUUGAAUAAAAAAGAUGGGCUCAGCCCUGAAUUUGAGGAUGGGGUGAGUUACAUAUUGCAAAAUUACACCCUGUCCAAUGCAUAUGGGCAGAUGUAUUUAUUUGUUGGUCCUGGACGAUGAAAUUCAAGACCGUGGCGCAGGACGCUGUAAAAGGCCCCGUGUCCAACUUCACCCAACACGACUGGUGAAGAGGACCACUUAUCUUCAAGAGAGAUAAUGGAUGUCCUGCUCAGACUCCGAGGACAAAUCCAAGAAAUUGCUGUGGGGCAGGUCCAAGAAACCGAAGUGGAAGUAAUCGGUGUCUCUGAGAUCCACGACACAUGGCUCUUCCUCACGAGUGUUUCUGAGAGCAUCUACUCAACGAGGAUGACCUGAUCUCCAGCGGCUGAUGAGGAUAAUCCUAAAACACAUCAACCGCCGUGUUUUAGAGCUUCAUUAUAGAGCAGUAAAAUGUAAAUAGUUGUCUGUUCACAUCUGUUUAGUUUGUGUUUUUUUCACUUUGUAACAAUUCUCUGUUUGAAGUUUUUCUUUUGUUUGUUCGUUUUUAGUUUGUACAUAAUUUGUUCUAAACCGUGUGUCAGUAAAAAUAAAAACAUAAUUCUGUGUUUCCACAGUAGUUGUCUUCUUUACCAUUCAUAUCCUUCCUCUAACAUCUGUAUCUUUAGUCGUGUCACUUGCACUGCAUUGCACUUCGAGUAAUGGUGAAGAUCUGUACGGCUGUCACGCUUCUUCUGUUCGAGCGCUGGAUUUAACAAACAAAACUGGCUACAAUUUACCCAUAGAACACCAGAAGUGGUGCAUUCAACGGACGAAAAUAUAUUAACCAUAUUAUUAGAUCAUUUUCUAAGACUGCACGAUAUAGUUAAACAUGCACGAUAUAUUAAAUAACUUUUCAAAAAAAAUGUUAGUGUCUAUUAUUU
Carassius auratus (goldfish) is the source of this 1918-nucleotide long non-coding RNA. RefSeq lists it as uncharacterized. The record is from RefSeq and is a predicted model, not a curated record. The transcript has 6 exons. NCBI's taxonomy places the organism in Eukaryota, Metazoa, Chordata, Actinopteri, Cypriniformes, Cyprinidae.